Molecule: ribosomal RNA, 500 nt
Filed under: uncultured Clostridia bacterium
Lineage: Bacteria; Bacillati; Bacillota; Clostridia
Description: bacterial SSU rRNA
Rfam family: Bacterial small subunit ribosomal RNA
Source: RNAcentral
GAAGAACCUUACCAAGGCUUGACAUCGUCUGAUGAUCCUAGAGAUAGGAAGUUCUCCUUCGGGAGACAGAUAGACAGGUGGUGCAUGGCUGUCGUCAGCUCGUGUCGUGAGAUGUUGGGUUAAGUCCCGCAACGAGCGCAACCCUUAUCCUAUGUUGCCAGCACGUAAUGGUGGGAACUCAUGGGAGACUGCCGUGGAUAACACGGAGGAAGGUGGGGAUGACGUCAAGUCAUCAUGCCCCUUAUGUCUUGGGCUACACACGUACUACAAUGGGCCUUAAUAGAGGGUAGCGACACAGUGAUGUGAUGCUAAUCCCAAAAAGCCAUCUCAGUUCAGAUUGAACUCUGCAACUCGAGUUCAUGAAGUUGGAAUCGCUAGUAAUCGUAGAACAGCAUGCUACGGUGAAUACGUUCCCGGGCCUUGUACACACCGCCCGUCACACCAUGGGAGUUGGUCAGACUUUAAGACGGUGUUCUAACUCGCAAGAGAGGAAGCCGGCC